AUUGGACGCUGGCGGAAUGCUUUACACAUGCAAGUCGAACGGUAGAGGGGGCAACCCCUCGAGAGUGGCGAACGGGUGAGUAAUAUAUCGGAACGUGCCCAGUCGUGGGGGAUAACGUAGCGAAAGUUACGCUAAUACCGCAUACGAUCUAAGGAUGAAAGCGGGGGAUAGCAAGACCUCGCGCGAUUGGAGCGGCCGAUAUCAGAUUAGGUAGUUGGUGGGGUAAAGGCUCACCAAGCCAACGAUCUGUAGCUGGUCUGAGAGGACGACCAGCCACACUGGGACUGAGACACGGUCCAGACUCCUACGGGAGGCAGCAGUGGGGAAUUUUGGACAAUGAGCGAAAGCCUGAUCCAGCCAUUCCGCGUGCAGGAUGAAGGCCCUCGGGUUGUAAACUGCUUUUGUACAGAACGAAAAGGUUUCUACUAAUACUAGGAGCUCAUGACGGUACUGUAAGAAUAAGCACCGGCUAACUACGUGCCAGCCGCCGCCGUAA
Molecule: ribosomal RNA, 496 nt
Filed under: uncultured bacterium
Lineage: Bacteria
Description: partial 16S ribosomal RNA
Rfam family: Bacterial small subunit ribosomal RNA
Source: RNAcentral